AUUGAACGCUGGCGGCGUGCCUUACACAUGCAAGUCGAACGGCAGCAUGAUCUAGCUUGCUCGAUUGAUGGCGAGUGGCGAACGGGUGAGUAAUACAUCGGAACGUGCCUUGUAGUGGGGGAUAACUAGUCGAAAGAUUAGCUAAUACCGCAUACGACCUGAGGGUGAAAGUGGGGGACCGCAAGGCCUCAUGCUAUAGGAGCGGCCGAUGUCUGAUUAGCUAGUUGGUGAGGUAAAGGCUCACCAAGGCGACGAUCAGUAGCUGGUCUGAGAGGACGAUCAGCCACACUGGGACUGAGACACGGCCCAGACUCCUACGGGAGGCAGCAGUGGGGAAUUUUGGACAAUGGGCGAAAGCCUGAUCCAGCAAUGCCGCGUGUGUGAAGAAGGCCUUCGGGUUGUAAAGCACUUUUGUCCGGAAAGAAAUGGCUCUGGUUAAUACCUGGGGUCGAUGACGGUACCGGAAGAAUAAGGACCGGCUAACUACGUG
This 490-nucleotide ribosomal RNA is filed under the name uncultured bacterium. RNAcentral describes it as "partial 16S ribosomal RNA". It matches the Rfam family "Bacterial small subunit ribosomal RNA", at positions 30 to 507 of the family's 1533-position model. The record is from RNAcentral.